UGGGGGAUAUUGCACAAUGGGCGAAAGCCUGAUGCAGCGACGCCGCGUGGGGGAUGAAGGCUUUCGGGUUGUAAACCUCUUUCGCUAUCGAACAAGGCCCGCUUAGGGUGGGUUGAGGGUAGGUGGAGAAGAAGCGCCGGCUAACUACGUGCCAGCAGCCGCGGUAAUACGUAGGGCGCGAGCGUUGUCCGGAAUUAUUGGGCGUAAAGGGCUUGUAGGCGGCUUGUUGCGCCUGCUGUGAAAACGCGAGGCUUAACUUCGCGCGUGCAGUGGGUACGGGCAGGCUUGAGUGUGGUAGGGGUGACUGGAAUUCCAGGUGUAGCGGUGGAAUGCGCAGAUAUCUGGAGGAACACCGAUGGCGAAGGCAGGUCACUGGGCCAUUACUGACGCUGAGGAGCGAAAGCAUGGGUAGCGAACAGG
RNAcentral lists this ribosomal RNA (420 nucleotides) under bacterium. RNAcentral's name for it is "partial 16S ribosomal RNA". It matches the Rfam family "Bacterial small subunit ribosomal RNA", at positions 355 to 776 of the family's 1533-position model. The record is from RNAcentral.